Molecule: ribosomal RNA, 302 nt
Filed under: uncultured bacterium
Lineage: Bacteria
Description: partial 16S ribosomal RNA
Rfam family: Bacterial small subunit ribosomal RNA
Source: RNAcentral
GCAGUCGCCGCGGUAAUACGUAGGGUUCAAGCGUUAAUCGGAAUUACUGGGCGUAAAGCGUGCGCAGGCGGUUAUAUAAGACAGAUGUGAAAUCCCCGGGCUCAACCUGGGAACUGCAUUUGUGACUGUAUAGCUAGAGUACGGCAGAGGGGGAUGGAAUUCCGCGUGUAGCAGUGAAAUGCGUAGAUAUGCGGAGGAACACCGAUGGCGAAGGCAAUCCCCUGGGCCUGUACUGACGCUCAUGCACGAAAGCGUGGGGAGCAAACAGGAUUAGAUACCCCUGUAGUCCCUGUCUCUUAUAC